UACGUAGGUCUCAAGCGUUGUUCGGAUUCAUUGGGCGUAAAGGGUGCGUAGGCGGCGCGGUAAGUCGGGUGUGAAAUCUCGGAGCUUAACUCCGAAACUGCAUUCGAUACUGCCGUGCUUGAGGACUGGAGAGGAGACUGGAAUUUACGGUGUAGCGGUGAAAUGCGUAGAUAUCGUAAGGAAGACCAGUGGCGAAGGCGGGUCUCUGGGCCGAUACUGACGCUGAGGAGCGAAAGCCAGGGGAGCGAACGGG
This 253-nucleotide ribosomal RNA is filed under the name uncultured bacterium. RNAcentral describes it as "partial 16S ribosomal RNA". It matches the Rfam family "Bacterial small subunit ribosomal RNA", at positions 524 to 776 of the family's 1533-position model. The record is from RNAcentral.